This 446-nucleotide ribosomal RNA is filed under the name uncultured soil bacterium. Its description in RNAcentral is "bacterial SSU rRNA". It matches the Rfam family "Bacterial small subunit ribosomal RNA", at positions 26 to 518 of the family's 1533-position model. The record is from RNAcentral.
AGAGCGAACGCUGGCGGCAGGCCUAACACAUGCAAGUCGAACGGACCCUUCGGGGUUAGUGGCGGACGGGUGAGUAACACGUGGGAACGUGCCUUUUGGUUCGGAAUAGCUCCUGGAAACGGGUGGUAAUGCCGAAUGUGCCCUUCGGGGGAAAGAUUUAUCGCCAUUAGAGCGGCCCGCGUCUGAUUAGCUAGUUGGUAAGGUAAUGGCUUACCAAGGCGACGAUCAGUAGCUGGUCUGAGAGGAUGACCAGCCACAUUGGGACUGAGACACGGCCCAAACUCCUACGGGAGGCAGCAGUGGGGAAUCUUGCGCAAUGGGCGAAAGCCUGACGCAGCCAUGCCGCGUGAAUGAUGAAGGUCUUAGGAUUGUAAAAUUCUUUCACCGGGGACGAUAAUGACGGUACCCGGAGAAGAAGCCCCGGCUAACUUCGUGCCAGCAGCCGC